AACGAACGCUGGCGGCGUGCCUAACACAUGCAAGUCGUGCGAGAAAGUUCCUUCGGGAGCGAGUAAAGCGGCGCACGGGUGAGUAACACGUAGGUAACCUGCCCCCCAGUCUGGAACAACUAGAGGAAACUCUAGCUAAUGCCGGAUGAGACCACGAUCCCCUUCGGGGGGUUGCGGCCAAAGAUGGCCUCUACUUGUAAGCUAUCGCUGAGGGAUGGGCCUGCGGCCAUUAGCUUGUUGGUGAGGUAACGGCUCACCAAGGCUGUGAUGGCUAGCUGGUCUGAGAGGAUGACCAGCCACACUGGGACUGAGACACGGCCCAGA
Molecule: ribosomal RNA, 324 nt
Filed under: uncultured bacterium
Lineage: Bacteria
Description: bacterial SSU rRNA
Rfam family: Bacterial small subunit ribosomal RNA
Source: RNAcentral